GGGCUGAGUGGGUCGCUUGGCGCCUUCCGCAGUGGCGCAGCGAGUGUCUGUCUGAGAUGGAUUUUAAAAUCGAAUACACUUGGGAUGGUUUUCCAGUGAGGCAUGAGCCAGUGUGUGUCAGGCUGAAUCCGUGUGACCAGGGAGUGAAGAUGGAGGUUAGUGCUCCAUUAUUCAAUGAUCCUCCAUCCCCUCUCGGAGAACCAGGAAAGCCUUUCAGUGAACUGUGGAAUUAUGAAGUUGUGGAAGCAUUUUUUCUGAAUGAUACAACUAAGCAGUAUUUAGAAGUGGAACUCUGUCCGCAUGGACAACAUUUAGUUCUUUUACUCGCUGGAAGAAGAAAUGUUUGGAAAAAAGACCUCGCAUUAUCAUUCAAAGCGUCCAGAGGAGGGACUAAUUGGGAAGGUGAAGCUUAUAUUCCUUGGAGUUAUUUCCCACCAAAUGUGACAAAAUUUAACUCAUUUGCAAUCCAUGGAUCAAAUGAUAGGAGAGUUUAUGAGGCACUUUACCCUGUGCCACAGCAUGAGCUACAACAAGGACAAAAACCUGACUUCCAUCGUCUAGAAUAUUUCAAGCCUUUCAGUUUCAACACACUGCUUGGAGAAGAAUGGAAGCAGCCAGAAUCAGACCUGUGUGCUUUCUGCCCUGGCAUUAUAUUCCAGAAGCAUAUGAAUCACUGGAGUGAAAUGUUUCUGGCCUCUUGUUUAGGAUGGUCAGAGGCUUAAGAAGGGCCUGAGUGGAAUUAGCUAUUCUUUCCUAUCAACAUGUUGCAUUUCAUGAACAAUCGAAUUAUUCUUGAACGAUAUAUAUGAAGAAAGGAAAGAAUAUUACGUUUGUUUCAGAGGAUUCAGUCCAAGAUCACUUGAUGCUGUUACCUUUGAGCUUGUGAAGAGUCAGAAUCUCAGGGGCAGAGUCUGUAAUGGAGGAGACUUAUUUCUUAGCACCAGAAGCAGAGAGGAGGCGUCUGGUCCUCAGUACUCCAUAAAGCCUUAAAGUGUAAGAAAUGUUUCCUGAGUCACAGAUGGAGGAGCUGUGGUAUAGCCAACUUUUGUAGAAAGUGUUCUCUCCCUCAAUGCUGCACUUUUCUGCACUGAUCUAGCUCGCAUUACUCCUUAUUAGGAGGCUUUGCUAUGCUGCUCUGUCUCUACUUAAUGCCUCUGACAUUACUCAAGGUAAGAAUGACAUAUUUCUUAGAAUCAUUUCCUGUGAUAGUAGAGACAGUUUAACCAACUCCCUGUAAUAUGCUAUCUUUUAAUGGACUGCAAAGAGCAACUAUUUAGUACUUAGAUUGUUUUCAAAUUCCAAACCAUUGAGAGCUUUGCCAGGUAAGUCCCACUUGAUUGGUCCUUCAGCCUUCCAAUCUGCAUACACUCUAUGGACAGCCAUUCUAGUGCCACGUGACCAACUGGAUCACAGUGGCAUGUUGAGGCUUUCUGUCCCAAAGCUUUUAUUUCCCAAGGACAAAAAUGACCUUGUGAUAAAGGACAACUGAUUUUUUCUUUUAAGAAGUAAUAAGAUUUUGCCAAAACUCAAAUAGCCGUGUUAUCUCUGAGCUUUAUACUUGCUUGCAGGACUCUUUGAGGAAAUGACUCAUUUCCCAAAGUUUGAAGAAUGGCUUAAGUUGUUUCAGGCAUUUCUCAGAUUGAGUCGUAUAUGAAGCCUAGCUGGUUAUUUUAGCCCUCAACUCUUCUUUCUAUGGAUGUAGUUAGCUUGUUAGUGUCAACACAGUGCACUAAAUUACUCCUGAGGGUUUUUUUAAGACCAAAAGAUUCACUUACUAGACCAUGGAAACAUGCCAGAAAAUUUACAGAUUGCUGUGGUAACAGUGAAUUUACCCUGAUAUUAUACCAUAAGUACAUGAACUGUACCUGGACUCUGAGUUGGAGUUUGUAAAGAAGGCACUCUCCCAUGCAGGGAAGCAUGAGCCUUCUUUGCCUUUUUUCACUGUCUAUAUCCUUCUUCACAUUACGUAUACCUGAGGCAAUCAGAGGAAGCCAACUUAUUUGGUCUUAGGCAGUCUGUUGUGUAUUUUUAGUGACUACCUAGACUAUGUGGUAGCUAGAACAGUGAUUAAAAAGAGAGUUAGUGGGAAAUCAAACCUCUAUUAUUUUCUUAAUUAGAACAAUGAUCUGUUGUCGCCCUCUUAGGAGUUCAAUAUUACUCAAUGAUAAAGUUCAGUAUUACUCAAUGACUCAUGAAAGUUUAAAAUUUCUCAUUUAUUAUAACUAAUUAAAAUAGAGUGGAGUCAGCUUAACCAAUAUCCUUUAUAAAGAUAGUAAUUUCAACCACAGAACUCUUAGCACCUAAGAGGUAUUUUACUCAGUACACAUGUCUGCUUUAUUUUAUCUUAUUUGUGUGUAUGUGUGUGUGUGUGUGUAUGAAUAUGUGAGGAUGCAUAUAUGCUGUCACAGAUAUGGAGAUCAUAGUAGAUGGACUAUGAGCUUCCAGCCAAUUUUUCUGUUUCCACUUGCCAUGUCCACAUAGGAAUGCUGGGAUUAUAGCUGGCUAUCAUCACAUCUGUCUUUUACUUUGGGUUCUGUAGACUGAACUCAGGCUUAUGGUUUUAAUUUUACCCACUGAGGAUACUCCCUUCUCACAGAUCUACUUUUAUAUUGAAAAUCACAGUACAUUUCUACUAAUUUCUACAGACUGAUGUCUUAUAAGUAACUAUUAUCCUUUUUCACCAUAAAUUAUCUUAAAUCAACCAAAUAUAUCCUGCUGAAAGCAACCUGUAAAUAAAGGCUUUCUUGUAGCAAAUAUUAGUUUGUUUGCCAAGAGAUUUGUCACGAUCUGACUUAUAAAGACAUCUUGACUGUUAUUUUUCCCUAGGACAUCCACACACAAAAGAAGAAAGUGGAUUACCAAUCCAUUGUAUUUGUCAGCUUUUUGGUACUCUGACAAAAUAUAUGUUAUAUGUAAUAGUUUAAAAGAAAGAAAGACUUUUUAAAAGGAGAUUCAGACUAUAGUUAAUUUGCAUUGGACUUGUGGCAGCAGAGUGUUGUAAAUAUUUUCUCGUAUGUAUCUGGUAUGUCACUCUCCCAUUACUAAUUCUCCAUGGCUAGUUCCUUCUCUCAUUAUACUCUAAUAAUAGGAUUUCUUAAGACUCAGUCCUCAGACUUUUACUAUCUCUAUGUUAGCUGAUGUGGUUACCUCAGACAAUAUUGUGAUUGAAAGUACAUUGCACAUACUAAUAAUUCCCAAUUAUAUAGCUUAAUCUUCCUCAUCUGUGCCAGAACAUUAAACUUUUUGAUAUUAUCACUAAGUUAUCAAAUGAAUGAUACAUAUUUGCAUGCCCAGUAUCAAAUACUUAAUUCUAAUACCUUACUCACUGCAAGUUUUCUCCAUUUAGUGAAGGAUGAGUUUUUCUGUAGCUCAAACCAAAAAAUUUUCACUCUACUUACUUCACUCUAUUGACAAAUAUAUCUACUAUACUUUUGAAAUAUAUUGAGAAACUCACCACUUCCUUACUCUCUCACCUUCCUAUCUCCCUAGCAUAAACCACUAUCGUUUCCAGAUAGUUGCAACUCUGAAUAACUUCAGUAAUCUGUAGUUCAUCUCCCUGUAUCUCCCCUUGCCCUGACUCAUUCCUCUACUCAAAAGCCAGAAUCUGCUUUAUAAUUUAUUUUUUUCAAUUUAUUUAUCUUUGUUCACUUCUUUGAGAAACUAUAUUUCUCCAGUUGACCUGGAACUUGCCAUGUAGAACAUGCUGUCCUUAAAAUUACAGUGUUUCUCCUG
Mus caroli (Ryukyu mouse) is the source of this 3732-nucleotide non-coding RNA. NCBI's taxonomy places the organism in Eukaryota, Metazoa, Chordata, Mammalia, Rodentia, Muridae. The record is from RefSeq and is a predicted model, not a curated record.